GGGGUUCGGCCCUGGGGGAAUUGGGGACCCCCGGGCCCCCAGAAUUCCUUACGGGGAGGGCACCCAGUUAGGGGAAUUCUUUCCGCCAAAUGGAAAGAAAAUUUCUGAACGGAGCAAACGCCCGCCUUGAAUUGAUGAAAGGUUUUUCGGAUUCGUAAAAGCUUUUGUUUGUUAGGGAAGAACCAAGUACCGUUCGAAUAGGGCGGGUACCUUGACGGGUACCUAACCCAGAAAAGCCACGGCUAAAUUACGUGCCAGCAGCCGCGGUAAUACGUAGGUGGCAAGCGUUGUCCGGAAUUAUUGGGCGUAAAGGGCUCGCAGGCGGUUUCUUAAGUCUGAUGUGAAAGCCCCCGGCUCAACCGGGGAGGGUCAUUGGAAACUGGGGAACUUGAGUGCAGAAGAGGAGAGUGGAAUUCCACGUGUAGCGGUGAAAUGCGUAGAGAUGUGGAGGAACACCAGUGGCGAAGGCGACUCUCUGGUCUGUAACUGACGCUGAGGAGCGAAAGCGUGGGGAGCGAACAGGAUUAGAUACCCUGGUAGUCCACGCCGUAAACGAUGAGUGCUAAGUGUUAGGGGGUUUCCGCCCCUUAGUGCUGCAGCUAACGCAUUAAGCACUCCGCCUGGGGAGUACGGUCGCAAGACUGAAACUCAAAGGAAUUGACGGGGGCCCGCACAAGCGGUGGAGCAUGUGGUUUAAUUCGAAGCAACGCGAAGAACCUUACCAGGUCUUGACAUCCUCUGACAAUCCUAGAGAUAGGACGUCCCCUUCGGGGGCAGAGUGACAGGUGGUGCAUGGUUGUCGUCAGCUCGUGUCGUGAGAUGUUGGGUUAAGUCCCGCAACGAGCGCAACCCUUGAUCUUAGUUGCCAGCAUUCAGUUGGGCACUCUAAGGUGACUGCCGGUGACAAACCGGAGGAAGGUGGGGAUGACGUCAAAUCAUCAUGCCCCUUAUGACCUGGGCUACACACGUGCUACAAUGGACAGAACAAAGGGCAGCGAAACCGCGAGGUUAAGCCAAUCCCACAAAUCUGUUCUCAGUUCGGAUCGCAGUCUGCAACUCGACUGCGUGAAGCUGGAAUCGCUAGUAAUCGCGGAUCAGCAUGCCGCGGUGAAUACGUUCCCGGGCCUUGUACACACCGCCCGUCACACCACGAGAGUUUGUAACACCCGAAGUCGGUGAGGUAACCUUUAGGAGCCAGCCGCCGAAGGACC
RNAcentral lists this ribosomal RNA (1211 nucleotides) under Bacillus siamensis. Its description in RNAcentral is "bacterial SSU rRNA". It matches the Rfam family "Bacterial small subunit ribosomal RNA", at positions 299 to 1465 of the family's 1533-position model. The record is from RNAcentral. Lineage: Bacteria; Bacillati; Bacillota; Bacilli; Caryophanales; Bacillaceae.